Molecule: ribosomal RNA, 267 nt
Filed under: uncultured bacterium
Lineage: Bacteria
Description: partial 16S ribosomal RNA
Rfam family: Bacterial small subunit ribosomal RNA
Source: RNAcentral
CGGUCAACAAAGAGAGGCGAAACCGCGAGGUGGAGCGAAUCUCAAAAAGCCGUCCCAGUUCGGAUUGCAGGCUGCAACCCGCCUGCAUGAAGUUGGAAUCGCUAGUAAUCGCGGAUCAGCAUGCCGCGGUGAAUACGUUCCCGGGCCUUGUACACACCGCCCGUCACACCAUGAGAGUCGGGAACACCCGAAGUCCGUAGCCUAACCGCGAAGGGGGCGCGGCCGAAGGUGGGUUCGAUAAUUGGGGUGAAGUCGUAACAAGGUAUC